This is a long non-coding RNA of Mustela lutreola (European mink), 1314 nucleotides long. RefSeq lists it as uncharacterized. The record is from RefSeq and is a predicted model, not a curated record. The transcript is spliced from 4 exons. NCBI's taxonomy places the organism in Eukaryota, Metazoa, Chordata, Mammalia, Carnivora, Mustelidae.
CCCUGGAAUGCAUAUAUAAUUAUCCUGCAGUAACCCUGAGAGAUAGGACCUAUAAUUGUCCCCAUUAUAUGGAUGAAGAAAGUAAGGCACAGAGGGAUUAAAUAAUUUGCCACAAUCACAAAAUCACUUCAGCUGCUGUACAGAGAAUGGAUUGUGGAAGGUAAAAGUGAAAACAGUGGCCUUGGAAAAGAGAUGGCGGUGGCCUCAUCUAGGGGGAAGCAGAAGAUUUAAUUUACUUAACAGAGAGAGAGAGAGAGAGACCACAAGCAGAGAGAGCAGCAGGCAGAGGGAGAAGCAGGCUCCUCACUGAGCAGGGAGCCCAACUCCCUGAGCUUGUUCCCGGGACCCUGGGAUCAUGACCUGAGCCAAAGGGAGACGCUUAACCAACUGAGCCACCCAGGCGCCCCCACUUAAAGUGAGAAGGAGAAGGAGAAGGAAGGAAGGCACAGACGAGCCAGAGCUCAGGUUGAGCUCAGGGGACGUUCUUUGGCAUUAGGGACGGAGCUAUCCGGGUCAACAUUUCUUCAGUUCUGCUGUCUAUACCCUUCUCCUCCAACACAAUGGCCCUGUUACUUGAAUGUCUACUGAGGAGUUGAUCCCUUUGGAUUACGACUUUGUUAGUGGAGAUUACAUUGCAAAGACCUAAUCUUUCACUGCUACAUAGCUCUCCAGGUAGGUUUCAGUGGGUUGCAAGAUUUCAGCCUGCCAGAUAAAUAUCAUUUAUUGAUUAAUUCAAUUUCCAAAAAAACCAAUCAGGCCUAUUACAUUGAGUUGAUGGGAACCAGAUUAAAACAAAGGAAUCUGAGUAACUUAAAAAUACUUGACAAUUUCUAGUAGACUCCUUUGAAAUGGAGAGAACAGCUCUCAGACCCCUUUGGAGCCUUCAGGGUAAUGGAGGUGGGGGAGUAAAACGCUUGGACCCCUGUUGGAAAACCCUGUUCUGACCUUCUAUGGUAGAAUGCAUUUUAGAGAGCUCUGUUUGAUGGUAAGGGAAGAGAGCAGAGCGGAGCACCUGAGAAAUGAGGGGAGAGAAGUGAUGGUGAGAGAGGGUCAGAGAGUCCUUCUGGUUAUUCUGCCUUGAGGACACUUGUAGCUUUUAGCUAAUUAACUAAAUUAGAGCCAGCUUUGGUUCAGUUGGGAAGGCAUCCAUGGAAAGAUCAUGGAUUCUGAAGAGAGGUACAUUUAUACUUUAUUAUUAUUAUUGUUGGUAAGAUUUUUAUUUUUUUAUUUGGCAGAGAGAGAGUACAGGCAGGGGGAGAGGCAGGCAGAGGGAGACGGAGAAAUAGGUUUCCCACUGAGCAGGGAGCCCGCUGU